RNAcentral lists this ribosomal RNA (254 nucleotides) under uncultured bacterium. RNAcentral describes it as "partial 16S ribosomal RNA". It matches the Rfam family "Bacterial small subunit ribosomal RNA", at positions 99 to 354 of the family's 1533-position model. The record is from RNAcentral.
CGGACGGGUGAGUAACGCGUGGACAACCUACCCCGCACUGGGGGACAACAGCCGGAAACGGCUGCUAAUACCGCAUAUGCGCACGGCCCCGCAUGGGGCCGCGCGGAAAGCGCAUGCGGUGCGGGAUGGGUCCGCGUCUGAUUAGCUUGUUGGCGGGGUAACGGCCCACCAAGGCGACGAUCAGUAGCCGGCCUGAGAGGGUGGACGGCCACAUUGGGACUGAGACACGGCCCAGCUCCUACGGAAGGCAGCAG